UAAAGGUGAUGUCUAAAGCCUGCUCCAAGGUAUAUAUCCUGGUGUCUUUGGCUUCUACCUCAACCUUCAACUGUCCUAUCUGUAUCUCCCUCUACUCCAACCUCUCUCGUAGCUCGGUUAACUCCAUCUGUGUUCGGUGAGCAGCGUCCUUGUACUGCUGUUCUGAAAUCUGGAGAGUACGAUUUCGUGCCUCCGCUUGCUCGAUUCUAACCUUUAAGUUGUCGUUCCUAACUAUCAAAUCUCUUAUCAUCUCACUGUCUGUGUACUCCUCGCUAGAGUCCAUCGUCUCUUAGGUCAAGGAAUUACUAUCUUGACUUUCGUC
This 322-nucleotide long non-coding RNA is filed under the name Panax ginseng (ginseng). RNAcentral describes it as "long non-coding RNA (PGIN_LNC011167)". The record is from RNAcentral. Lineage: Eukaryota; Viridiplantae; Streptophyta; Magnoliopsida; Apiales; Araliaceae.